AUGUGGGCGUGGGGCCUCGCCGAGCGCGCCGUCGCCGGUCUCCUCGGCCCCGCCGGCGCGAAUGGCGGUCGCUGGAACACCGCCGUCGCCGUCGGGGUCACGGCCGCGGCCGGCAUCGCGCUAGUCGCCAUCGUCAUCUCCUCCCGCAGGGGCGGGAUCAAAUCGCCGUGGCGGCGGCGGAGGAAGCCCGCGCUUGGGCCCAAGGAAUGGCGCAGCUUGUUCACGCCGGAGGGGAAGUUUUACGAUGGGGGCGUGAAGCUACUGAAGAGAGUUCGGAACGGAGGGGUUGAACCGAGCAUCAGAGCAGAGGUCUGGCCGUUCCUUCUGGGAGUUUAUAGCCUGAAUAGUUCAGAAGCUGAAAGGGAAGCAAUUAAGGCCCAUAACAGGAAGGGAUAUCUGCUCUUGAGGAAACAUUGCCUGCGAAAAAACAAUAAAGAAAGCGUGGAUGAUCAUAUCACGAGUGAGGAAGAAAAUCCUUGUGUCAUUUCAGAGCAAGAAAUGCAGGAUAAGACAGGUAAAGCAAUUCCAGAGAAUCAGGCGGAUGAAAGCCUCUGUUCAUCUAGUUCACGUGAUGAAGAUGAGAGUGAGAAAAGUGAUGUGACUGAUGUGGAAGCAUCCCGUGAUGAUGUCGCCUCUGUGGACCAGUCUUCAGUUGAGGAUGAAGAAGAAAGUAUGCCCCUGCCCAAAUAUUCAAACACAGGAGGAAAUAUAGAAACUGAAACUAAGCUAUCUAAGGAUGCCCGUCCUGUGAAGUCUGCACGGACAGUUGAGGAUUUUGAGACAUGGCAGCGGAUAAUUCGUUUGGAUGCAGUUCGUGCGAAUAAUGAAUGGGUUUCCUACUCUCCAUCGCAAGCUGCGGUUACCAGGGAGAAGGCAAUUGAAUCUGCUUCAGCUGUUUGUCUCAAAGACUAUGAGCACUUGGAAGCACACAGGAUCCAUCAUGCGUCACGUCUUGUUGCAAUACUUGAGGCGUACGCAACCUAUGACCCAGAAAUCGGUUAUUGCCAGGGCAUGAGUGACCUCCUUGCACCUCUCCUUGCUGUGCUGGAGGAAGACGAUGAAGCCUUCUGGUGCUUUGCCGGUUUCAUGAGGAAAGCCCGCCACAACUUCAGACUCGACGAAGUGGGUAUUCGCAGGCAACUCAACAUGGUCUCCAAGAUAAUAAAAACCAAGGACUUCCAUCUUUACAGGCACUUGGAGAUGCUUGAAGCUGCAGACUGCUUCUUCGUCUAUAGAAUGGUGGUUGUGAUGUUCCGGAGGGAGCUCACCUUCGAGCAGACCCUCAGCCUGUGGGAGGCGAUGUGGGCAGAUCAGGCAGCAAGGCGGGCUGGGAUCACAACAUCAUCCUGGAGAAAACUUCAGCUUGGAGCCCCUCCAACUGAUGACCUGCUGCUGUAUGCAAUUGCAGCCAGUGUACUGGAGAAGAGGAAAUUGAUAAUAGAGAGCUAUAGCAGCAUGGAUGAGAUCAUUAGGGACUGUAACAGCAUGGCCGGGCAGCUGGACAUUUGGAAGCUCCUGGACGACGCCCAUGAUUUAGUGGUGACCGUACAAGACAGGAUCGAGUAG
Molecule: ribosomal RNA, 1566 nt
Filed under: Triticum aestivum (bread wheat)
Lineage: Eukaryota; Viridiplantae; Streptophyta; Magnoliopsida; Poales; Poaceae
Description: partial small subunit ribosomal RNA
Source: RNAcentral